UCUCAGGUGGAUGCGCACAUUGAAUUCCGUGCGCUCACGCGCGCACAAUAGCACUCAAAAAACCAAAAAAAAAAAAAGAAAAGAAAAGCUUCCCUUUGUCUUCUCUUUUCUGAUUUCCCCCGUAAGACCAGAAACGCACAAUUUUCAUCUCCAUUUCUCCAAAUUCCAGUUCUGCCCCCAAUCAUUCCCCAUAAUUCCGCGUCAACAUCCAGAAAAUGGCUCCAGCCACCACCGUGGCGGCUGCUCGGCGUCUCGUAGGCUCGCGGCGCCGAACCGAGGCACCGCCACGACGUCCGUCCCCGUCGCCGCCACAGAGGAAGCUAAGGCCGGUGGCAGAGAUAAUGGCUCGUGCCAGAUAUGCGGUGGUGGAGCGAGCUGACUACAGUGACGUCGGCUGCGAACAAUGCGGCUCCGGUGAACGUCCCGACGAGCUUCUCCUAUGUGAUAAAUGCGAUAAAGGCUUCCACAUGAAAUGCCUUAGACCGAUCAUGGCUCGUGUUCCUAUUGGAUCCUGGCUUUGCCCCAAAUGCUCUGGUCAUAGGCGAGUAAGAAGUUUUUCGCAGAAAAAGAUAAUUGAUUUCUUUAGGAUUCAGAAGAGUUGUGAUGGAAAAAAGAAAUUCACGUCGAAUCAAGAUACCAGAAAGCGUCGCAGACGUUCUAGAUCAUUGGUGUUGCUAAAGAAAAGAAGGAGACUCUUGCCAUUUAUACCAUCUGAAGAUCCUAACCAACGUUUGAAUCAGAUGGGUACCCUUGCUUCAGCACUAACAGCUUUGCAGAUGGAAUUCAGUGAUGAUCUCACCUACUCUCCUGGCAUGGCCCCUAGAUCUGCCAAUCAGGCCAAGUUUGAAAAUGGUGGCAUGCAGGUUCUUUCGAAGGAAGAUAUGGAGACCUUGGAACUCUGCAGAGCAAUGAAUAGGCGAGGCGAAUGCCCUCCUCUUAUAGUAGUUUUUGAUUCAUGUGAAGGGUACCUCCAUUUUGAAAUAAUUUGUACUGUUGCAGUUAUAUUAUGUAGCUGUAUAUUUAGUGUAUUCAUUUUAAUUAUGUCGUGCAGUUAUACGGUAGAAGCAGAUGGACAGAUAAAGGAUAUGACAUUCAUUGCAGAAUACACAGGGGAUGUGGAUUACAUUAAAAACCGGGAAAAUGACGAUUGUGAUAGCUUGAUGACCCUUCUUUUAGCAACAGACUCAUCUAAAAGUCUUGUAAUCUGCCCUGAUAAACGUGGAAACAUUGCUCGCUUUAUCAAUGGCAUUAACAAUCAUACUCUGGAAGGCAAGAAGAAGCAGAAUUGUAAAUGUGUGAGGUACAGUGUAAAUGGUGAAUGCCGGGUCCUUUUGGUUGCCACUCGUGAUAUUGCUAAGGGAGAGAGGCUUUAUUAUGAUUAUAAUGGAUAUGAGCAUGAAUACCCUACUCAUCAUUUUGUCUGAAUAAUGGAACCGACGUUACUAACAAUCCUACAGAGCUGGGAUGCAAUUUUGGAUCCUCAUAGAUCAUCUUCUUUCAGUCAUUUUUAUUUUUUAUUUCACAGCUUACUCAUUGCUGGUGCAGAGUCAAAGAAAUUUCUUCAAAUUUGCACAUGCCAUUUUAUUAUAAUUUAUGAUGCAACGCUGGUCCCUUUUGCAGCCAUUAGCGAAAGACAGCAGGGAAGAAAAAUUUUUCCUUGGAAUUUAGAUGUUGUAGAAAUUUAUUUAAGAAACAAUAUCUUCUUGUAAUACAGGUCUCAAUUAAGGUCUAUUUAAUUUUAUCCAAUUACUGUCAUUCUACAGCUUUAAAACAGAAUUACUCGGUGGACUGCUAGAGAGCAUUUUUCUCUAGUAAUUCAUCUUUCUCUAUAGCUUUAAAUGUCUUUGCAAUUAACAAAGUUGACAUUUACGUUGGUCUUUGCGAUGUAUUCCCACCUUAAAAGAUGAGAGUGAAAACACUAGAGUAGUAGCUUAGCAGCAGCCAGCAGCAUUUGCAAUGAUAACAGGUGUGUGGCAUUAGGAUAUUCUUCUUCCUUAACGAUUCGUAGCUCUCUUUCAGAUCAAUGCUAAGAACGAAGGUGAAACAGAAAGCAUUUGCUUUUCUCCUGCAGCUCUUGUGAGUCCGUCAGUUGAACGAACGACCUAGUUCAGACAACAUCUAUACAUCCGGAUGAAGCAGUGGCCUUUUCCUUCAAUUCUUUCAUUCCCUGAACCUUCCAGUCUUUGGAAGGAGAGUUUGAUUUCUGCGACUCAAUCCGCAUUCGGCAUUCCUUGUGUCAGAAAAGAAGCACGGCUUUCCUCCAUGAUCAUGUCUCUGAAUUGGGAUGAAUACAUGCCAAAUCCUAACAACAGGCUAGAAAGCGCGCUGGUGAAGCCAAUAGUAAGCCGGUCGUCGAUCCUCUGCUCUUCGACUCUGCUGAACCAUUAACGGAACCUGUUGAUUAGAUAAAUAGCUAAUUUCAAGGAACAUUUAUAACUGCUGGUUCAGGUAUGAUGUCGGAUUAUAUUUAACUUCAAUUUCAUAAAUUCUCACUCUGUAUAUCUCAAGAUUUAAUCCAAAACUUUUAAAAAAUAGAGUCUCAAAUUAUAAACUUCAA
Theobroma cacao (cacao) is the source of this 2557-nucleotide non-coding RNA. The record is from RefSeq and is a predicted model, not a curated record. NCBI's taxonomy places the organism in Eukaryota, Viridiplantae, Streptophyta, Magnoliopsida, Malvales, Malvaceae.